AAGGUGGAUCGAACGAUCGAUCUUCGUUUUUGCGAAGGUAGGAAAGUCCGGACUCCAUCCGCCAUUCCGGCGGAAAACAGGUAGCGGGUAACGCCCGUCUGGAGCAAUCCACGAGGUGCGAGCAGAGACGCCAAGAUUAGAAAUAAUCUCGGCAUCCUAAGCGAUUAGGAUGAGUUCUUAUGGCAACAUAAGAGGUGAAACGGCUAAAUCCUUACUCGGGAGCAAGGUCGUGUUCUGUGUUUUUAGCUAAACACGGAAAGUGCCGCUCGAGGCCGCCAGCAAUGACGGUCCCAGAUAAAUGAUCGUUCUCGACAGAAUCCGGCUUACAGAUCCGCCUUGAUA
This 342-nucleotide RNase P RNA is filed under the name Minisyncoccota bacterium. RNAcentral describes it as "RNase P RNA component class A". It matches the Rfam family "Bacterial RNase P class A". Rfam says of the family: Ribonuclease P (RNase P) is a ubiquitous endoribonuclease, found in archaea, bacteria and eukarya as well as chloroplasts and mitochondria. Its best characterised activity is the generation of mature 5'-ends of tRNAs by cleaving the 5'-leader elements of precursor-tRNAs. Cellular RNase Ps are ribonucleoproteins. The record is from RNAcentral. Lineage: Bacteria; Bacillati; Minisyncoccota.